GAUGAACGCUGGCGGCGUGCCUAAUACAUGCCAGUCGAGCGAACAGACGAGGAGCUUGCUCCUCUGACGUUAGCGGCGGACGGGUGAGUAACACGUGGAUAACCUACCUAUAAGACUGGGAUAACUUCGGGAAACCGGGGCUAAUACCGGAUAAUAUAUUGAACCGCAUGGUUCAAUAGUGAAAGACGGUUUUGCUGUCACUUAUAGAUGGAUCCGCGCCGCAUUAGCUAGUUGGUAAGGUAACGGCUUACCAAGGCAACGAUGCGUAGCCGACCUGAGAGGGUGAUCGGCCACACUGGAACUGAGACACGGUCCAGACUCCUACGGGAGGCAGCAGUAGGGAAUCUUCCGCAAUGGGCGAAAGCCUGACGGAACAACGCCGCGUGAGUGAUGAAGGUCUUCGGAUCGUAAAACUCUGUUAUUAGGGAAGAACAAAUGUGUAAGUAACUAUGCACGUCUUGACGGUACCUAAUCAGAAAGCCACGGCUAACUACGUG
Molecule: ribosomal RNA, 497 nt
Filed under: uncultured bacterium
Lineage: Bacteria
Description: partial 16S ribosomal RNA
Rfam family: Bacterial small subunit ribosomal RNA
Source: RNAcentral